Molecule: non-coding RNA, 96 nt
Organism: Caerostris darwini
Lineage: Eukaryota; Metazoa; Arthropoda; Arachnida; Araneae; Araneidae
Source: the annotation of a GenBank genome assembly
AACGGCCGUACCAUGCUGAAUAUACCGGUUCUCGUUAGAUCACCGAAGUUAAGCAAAACUUGGGUGGGUGACCACCUGGGAACACUGCGUGCCGUU